Raphanus sativus (radish) is the source of this 815-nucleotide long non-coding RNA. RefSeq lists it as uncharacterized. The record is from RefSeq and is a predicted model, not a curated record. The transcript has 5 exons. Lineage: Eukaryota; Viridiplantae; Streptophyta; Magnoliopsida; Brassicales; Brassicaceae.
UAUUAACAUAUUCACAGAAUAAAAUAUCAUAGUGUUAUUAGCAUAAUUCAUAUACAAAGUGGUUGAAUUAAUUAUCAUCAACUGUGACAUGCUAUUGCAAUUUGCUAGUACUAUUUUAGGAUAAAGAAAUCAUCAUGCUUCGCUUCGCUAAUCUCAAGCCGUUGAUGCUGUAAUGUCAAAGCUCUUUUAAGAACUACAAGAACUGGUGCAAAUUUUUAGGACAUACACAGUUUUUAAGUGACUUCCUCAAGGAUCUGAAGAUAUAAUACAACAGCGGAAGAUAUAAUACAUUCAAAUUUUCUUCAUUUUACCUUUCUGUUAGUCCCAUUCUACCUGAUCAUAUCUAACAUGGGUCAUUUACCUGUUUAUUAUGUUCAGAUGGCUGGAAAUGUGAGCAUCGUCACUGGUGAAAAAAACAUUAAGCCUUCAUCCGGUGGAGAUGAUGAGGCAUUUCUACGGAAGGUCAUUACACCAAUCUUCCUGGAGUACAUAGUUGAAAAAGAAGCAAAAUAAGAAUGCCACUGGCAAGACUGCUCACUCAGAUUGGUCCAACUGUGAUGAAUAUUUCUGAAUGUGAGUCUAUCCAAGCGAGCAUUACCCAGACAUCGACGUUUUGUACCGGUCCUUUAGAUCAUGGAGUCACUGAGUAGUUGUUGCAAUCCGGUCUUUUCUAGCUAUUUGAGGAGUGAUCAAUGCUUUUCUUCUUCAGCAGCAUGUUAGUGUCUACUAUAUGAAGUAAUUGACCUUUUUUGUCUGUAUAUUCCCUGAAUCAAAUUCAUUUACCAUAUUGAUUAGCUUGGGUUAUAAGAAAGCGA